UGCCUUUUGUAAUAAUAUAUAAGGUAUAUUCUGCCCAGUGAAGAAUUCAACGGCCGCGGUAUCCUGACCGUGCAAAGGUAGCAUAAUCACUUGCCCCUUAAUUAGGGGCUAGAAUGAAAGAAUUAACGAAAAAUCAACUGUCUCACUUAUAUUAUUAAAAUUUAAUUUUUAGGUGAAGAAGCCUAAAUAAAAAUAAAAGACAAGAAGACCCUAUCAAGCUUUAAUUAAUUAAUUAUAUUAUUAAUAGUAAAAAUUUUUAUUGGGGCGAUAUGAAAUAUUAAAAUCCAUUUCUAAUAAUAAGAAUAAUAAUUCUUUAUAAUUAACUUCUUAAAAAUUUAAAAAAGCUACUGUAGGGAUAACAGGCUAAUAUUUCUUGAGAGCUCUUAUCAACAGAAAUGAUUGGCACCUCGAUGUUGGCUUUGGAUACCAAGUUUGUGCAGAAGCAAACUAUGGUGGUUUGUUCAACCAUAAAAUUCCU
Molecule: ribosomal RNA, 478 nt
Filed under: Eusyllis blomstrandi
Lineage: Eukaryota; Metazoa; Annelida; Polychaeta; Phyllodocida; Syllidae
Description: partial 16S ribosomal RNA
Rfam family: Bacterial large subunit ribosomal RNA
Source: RNAcentral